Molecule: ribosomal RNA, 582 nt
Filed under: uncultured marine eukaryote
Lineage: Eukaryota
Description: SSU rRNA
Rfam family: Eukaryotic small subunit ribosomal RNA
Source: RNAcentral
AACCUGGUUGAUCCUGCCAGUAGUCAUAUGCUUGUCUCAAAGACUAAGCCAUGCAUGUCUAAGUAUAAGUAUUAUACAGCGAAACUGCGAAUGGCUCAUUAAAACAGUUAUAAUUUAUUUGAUAAUCGAAUUUACAUGGAUAACCGUGGUAAUUCUAGAGCUAAUACAUGCUGGUAGGCCCGACUUUUUGGAAGGGCGGUAUUUAUUAGAUAACAAACCAAUAUUCCUCUGGUCUAUUGUGGUGAAUCAUAAUAACUGAUCGAAUCGCAAGGUUUUUAACCGCGAUAAGUCAUUCAAGUUUCUGCCCCAUCAGCUUUCGAUGGUAGUGUAUUGGACUACCAUGGCUUUUACGGGUAACGGAGGAUUAGGGUUCGAUUCCGGAGAGGGAGCCUGAGAAACGGCUACCACGUCUAAGGAAGGCAGCAGGCGCGUAAAUUACCCAAUCCUGACUCAGGGAGGUAGUGACAAGAAAUAACGGACCGAGGCCUUCGGGCUUCGGGAUUGCAAUGAGCCGAAUUUACACCCCUUAGCGAAGAUCGAUUGGAGGGCAAGUCUGGUGCCAGCAGCCGCGGUAAUCCAGCU